Phascolarctos cinereus (koala) is the source of this 398-nucleotide non-coding RNA. The record is from RefSeq and is a predicted model, not a curated record. NCBI's taxonomy places the organism in Eukaryota, Metazoa, Chordata, Mammalia, Diprotodontia, Phascolarctidae.
AAAGGGGAAAUGAACGUCUCCCAGGCAACUGUCUGCGGGCGUGCUUACACGUCCUCGCUAGGGGGAGCCAAAGUCGCGAGAAUUUAUGACCUGGAAUGCUGACCUGGCUCCUUCUUGCAAGUUCUAUUCUAUUCUGUCAGAGGCCAUCUUUGGGCUGUCAAGUCACAAAGAUGUAAAGACUGCCCAGACAACAACCAAUAUUGGCAAUGGCAGUGAGCUUGUUGCUCUAGGCACUCAAGAUUACAGAAUACCCCUUGCUGGCUGGAUAAGGGGUAACUGAGACCCUGUGAUCUUCUGAGAAGUGACUUCUUUGUGCCAAAGGAUACUGCUGAGAAGUAAUAUUGAAACAGAAAGUAGCAACUGGAGAGGAAGAAAGAAUGAGGCUUAAGACUCCUCCU